RNAcentral lists this ribosomal RNA (274 nucleotides) under uncultured bacterium. Its description in RNAcentral is "partial 16S ribosomal RNA". It matches the Rfam family "Bacterial small subunit ribosomal RNA", at positions 523 to 796 of the family's 1533-position model. The record is from RNAcentral.
AUACUUAGGGUGCGAGCGUUAAUCGGAAUUACUGGGCGUAAAGCGAGUGUAGGCGGCUGCGUAAGUCGGAUGUGAAAGCCCCGGGCUCAACCUGGGAAUUGCAUUCGAAACUGCGUAGCUAGAGUUUGGUAGAGGUAAGUGGAAUUCAAGGUGUAGCGGUGAAAUGCGUAGAUAUCUUGAGGAACAUCAGUGGCGAAGGCGGCUUACUGGACCAAAACUGACGCUGAGGCUCGAAAGCGUGGGGAGCAAACAGGAUUAGAAACCCCAGUAGUCC